UAGAGGAAGUAAAAGUCGUAACAAGGUUUCCGUAGGUGAACCUGCGGAAGGAUCAUUACCGAGUGAGGGCCCUUUGGGUCCAACCUCCCACCCGUGUUUAUUUACCUUGUUGCUUCGGCGGGCCCGCCUUAACUGGCCGCCGGGGGGCUUACGCCCCCGGGCCCGCGCCCGCCGAAGACACCCUCGAACUCUGUCUGAAGAUUGUAGUCUGAGUGAAAAUAUAAAUUAUUUAAAACUUUCAACAACGGAUCUCUUGGUUCCGGCAUCGAUGAAGAACGCAGCGAAAUGCGAUACGUAAUGUGAAUUGCAAAUUCAGUGAAUCAUCGAGUCUUUGAACGCACAUUGCGCCCCCUGGUAUUCCGGGGGGCAUGCCUGUCCGAGCGUCAUUGCUGCCCUCAAGCCCGGCUUGUGUGUUGGGCCCCGUCCUCCGAUUCCGGGGGACGGGCCCGAAAGGCAGCGGCGGCACCGCGUCCGGUCCUCGAGCGUAUGGGGCUUUGUCACCCGCUCUGUAGGCCCGGCCGGCGCUUGCCGAUCAACCCAAAUUUUUAUCCAGGUUGACCUCGGAUCAGGUAGGGAUACCCGCUGAACUUAAGCAUAUC
This 599-nucleotide ribosomal RNA is filed under the name Penicillium sp. 16WV01. RNAcentral's name for it is "eukaryotic LSU rRNA". The stretch from base 234 to 386 matches the Rfam family "5.8S ribosomal RNA". Lineage: Eukaryota; Fungi; Ascomycota; Eurotiomycetes; Eurotiales; Aspergillaceae. The record is from RNAcentral.